RNAcentral lists this ribosomal RNA (1080 nucleotides) under Triticum aestivum (bread wheat). RNAcentral describes it as "partial small subunit ribosomal RNA". Lineage: Eukaryota; Viridiplantae; Streptophyta; Magnoliopsida; Poales; Poaceae. The record is from RNAcentral.
AUGCUGGAUCGCCGUCUCAAAGUCCUUCUUCUUGUAGGAUGCAUUCCCUGCCUCCUUCUCCUUCAGAGCAGCAGCUUUCCUCUCCUUCCGCUCCUUCUCCUCAUCAGACACCUCCAUCGGCUCCGGUUGUGGCUCAGGCUCCAUCUCCCUCGCCUUUGUCUCAGGCUGUUGCUUCUGCUGCUGCGGUGGCGGCUGCGACGGCGAGGAAGACUGCGAAAAAUCGGAGUCCUGGGGCGUCUGGAUCUUGAUGUUAAGCAUGAGGCUGAGCACCUGCAUCAUGCGCGGGUCGGACAGGUACGUGUUGAGGCUGCUGGGAUUCCGCUGCACCUCCCGCAGCAUCUGCAUGAAGUCGGACUGGUCGAGAUAGGCGCGCGUAGCGGGGUCGGAGGCGAUCUUGGUCCAGAGCUCGGGGCCCUGGAACAUCUGGCCGAUGGCGUCGGCGCCGCCAGACGGCGCGCGGCGCGGCGGGGCGCCGGCAGCCUUCUUGGCGUCAGCGAGGCCGGCCUUGAGGCCCUCGUUGCUGGGAUCGAGGGCGAGGCCCUUCUCGUAGGCGGCGGCGGCGCUGGCGGCGUCGCCGAGGCCGAGGUGGGCGGCGCCGAGGCGCGAGUAUCCCUUGGCCCAGUCGGGCUUGAGCUCGACGGUCUUCUCGGCGUCGGCGAGCGCGUCGGAGUAGCGGUGGAUCGAGGCGAGCGCCGCCGAGCGGUUGGAGUAGAGAACGUGGUUGGCGGGGGCGAGCGCGAUGGCGUCGGAGAAGUGCCCCGCCGCCUCCUCGAAGCGGCCUGCCGAGAAGGCCGCAUUACCUUUGGCCUUCGCCUCGUCGGCCAUGGCGGGCGGGCGGUCCGAUCGGAUCGGGGCGGGGGCGGGGUGGGGAAGCUUCGAGAAGGUUUGGCGGCUGGGUGGAGGAGGACAAAUCCUGGGGUUAGAUGGGGAUUAAGGCGGAGCAGCAGGCCGGGCCGAGCGAGCUCGCUCAAGGGUUCCGGAACCUUCCCACGGCCACUCCAGCGACCCGACGAGCCGAUGCGUCGUGGACUCCCGUCACGCACUCCCUGUUUACGUUUUGCUCAUUUAGAAAGCGUAUAG